This 73-nucleotide transfer RNA is filed under the name Candidatus Fischerbacteria bacterium RBG_13_37_8. Its description in RNAcentral is "tRNA-Arg". It matches the Rfam family "tRNA". Rfam says of the family: Transfer RNA (tRNA) molecules are approximately 80 nucleotides in length. Their secondary structure includes four short double-helical elements and three loops (D, anti-codon, and T loops). The record is from RNAcentral. Lineage: Bacteria; Candidatus Fischeribacteriota.
GCGCCUGUAGCUCAGGUGGAUAGAGCGUAGGAUUCCUAAUCCUUGCGCCCGGGUUCGAGUCCCGGCAGGCGCU